UGGGGAAUUUUGGACAAUGGGCGCAAGCCUGAUCCAGCAAUGCCGCGUGCAGGAUGAAGGCCUUCGGGUUGUAAACUGCUUUUGUACGGAACGAAACGGCUCUGUCUAAUACAUGGGGCUAAUGACGGUACCGUAAGAAUAAGCACUGGCUAACUACGUGCCAGCAGCCGCGGUAAUACGUAGGGUGCAAGCGUUAAUCGGAACUACUGGGCGUAAAGCGUGCGCAGGCGGUUAUGUAAGACAGAUGUGAAAUCCCCGGGCUCAACCUGGGACCUGCAUUUGUGACUGCAUAGCUAGAGUACGGCAGAGGGGGAUGGAAUUCCGCGUGUAGCAGUGAAAUGCGUGGAUAUGCGGAGGAACACCGAUGGCGAAGGCAAUACCCUGGGCCUGUACUGACGCUAAUGCACGAACGCGUAGGGAGCAAACA
This 427-nucleotide ribosomal RNA is filed under the name uncultured bacterium. RNAcentral describes it as "bacterial SSU rRNA". It matches the Rfam family "Bacterial small subunit ribosomal RNA", at positions 355 to 774 of the family's 1533-position model. The record is from RNAcentral.